RNAcentral lists this ribosomal RNA (647 nucleotides) under Salmonella enterica subsp. enterica serovar Enteritidis. RNAcentral's name for it is "partial 23S ribosomal RNA". It matches the Rfam family "Bacterial large subunit ribosomal RNA", at positions 737 to 1381 of the family's 2925-position model. Lineage: Bacteria; Pseudomonadati; Pseudomonadota; Gammaproteobacteria; Enterobacterales; Enterobacteriaceae. The record is from RNAcentral.
UGGGCAGGUUGAAGGUUGGGUAACACUAACUGGAGGACCGAACCGACUAAUGUUGAAAAAUUAGCGGAUGACCUGUGGCUGGGGGUGAAAGGCCAAUCAAACCGGGAGAUAGCUGGUUCUCCCCGAAAGCUAUUUAGGUAGCGCCUCGUGAAUUCAUCUCCGGGGGUAGAGCACUGUUUCGGCUAGGGGGCCAUCCCGGCUUACCAACCCGAUGCAAACUGCGAAUACCGGAGAAUGUUAUCACGGGAGACACACGGCGGGUGCUAACGUCCGUCGUGAAGAGGGAAACAACCCAGACCGCCAGCUAAGGUCCCAAAGUCAUGGUUAAGUGGGAAACGAUGUGGGAAGGCCCAGACAGCCAGGAUGUUGGCUUAGAAGCAGCCAUCAUUUAAAGAAAGCGUAAUAGCUCACUGGUCGAGUCGGCCUGCGCGGAAGAUGUAACGGGGCUAAACCAUGCACCGAAGCUGCGGCAGCGACACUGUGUGUUGUUGGGUAGGGGAGCGUUCUGUAAGCCUGCGAAGGUGGCCUGUGAGGGUUGCUGGAGGUAUCAGAAGUGCGAAUGCUGACAUAAGUAACGAUAAAGCGGGUGAAAAGCCCGCUCGCCGGAAGACCAAGGGUUCCUGUCCAACGUUAAUCGGGGCAGGGUG